Molecule: ribosomal RNA, 497 nt
Filed under: uncultured bacterium
Lineage: Bacteria
Description: partial 16S ribosomal RNA
Rfam family: Bacterial small subunit ribosomal RNA
Source: RNAcentral
GAUGAACGCUGGCGGCGUGCCUAAUACAUGCAAGUCGAGCGAACGGACGAGAAGCUUGCUUCUCUGACGUUAGCGGCGGACGGGUGAGUAACACGUGGAUAACCUACCUAUAAGACUGGGAUAACUUCGGGAAACCGGAGCUAAUACCGGAUAAUAUUUUGAACCGCAUGGUUCAAUAGUGAAAGACGGUCUUGCUGUCACUUAUAGAUGGAUCCGCGCUGCAUUAGCUAGUUGGUAAGGUAACGGGUUACCAAGGCAACGAUGCAUAGCCGACCUGAGAGGGUGAUCGGCCACACUGGAGCUGAGCCACGGUCCAGACGCCUACGGGAGGCAGCAGUAGGGUAUCGGACGCAAUGGGCGAAAGCCUGACGGAGCAACGCCGCGUGAGUGAUGAAGGUCUUCGGAGCGUAAAACUCUGUUAUUAGGGAAGAACAUAUGUGUAAGUAACUGUGCACAUCUUGACGGUACCUAAUCAGAAAGCAACGGCUAACUACGUG